Molecule: ribosomal RNA, 207 nt
Filed under: uncultured bacterium
Lineage: Bacteria
Description: partial 16S ribosomal RNA
Rfam family: Bacterial small subunit ribosomal RNA
Source: RNAcentral
UCUCAGUUCGGAUCGGAGUCUGNAACCCGACUCCGUGAAGCUGGAUUCGCUAGUAAUCGCGCAUCAGCCAUGGCGCGGUGAAUACGUUCCCGGGCCUUGUACACACCGCCCGUCAAGCCAUGGAAGCCGGGGGUGCCUGAAGUGUGCAGCCGCAAGGAGCGCCCUAAGGUAAAACCGGUGACUGGGGCUAAGUCGUAACAAGGUAUC